AAGAAAAUAAAUAAGAAAAAAUGAAGUAUUUGGUUCGAUUUGCUUGUCGUUUCUACCCAUCCAAACCGUUUCUUUUUUUCUCUAGUGCUUGCUUGUUAUGUUA
RNAcentral lists this non-coding RNA (103 nucleotides) under uncultured eukaryote. The record is from RNAcentral.